GGGUUGUGAGGUUAAGCGACUAAGCGUACACGGUGGAUGCCCUGGCAGUCAGAGGCGAUGAAGGACGUGCUAAUCUGCGAUAAGCGUCGGUAAGGUGAUAUGAACCGUUAUAACCGGCGAUUUCCGAAUGGGGAAACCCAGUGUGUUUCGACACACUAUCAUUAAUUGAAUCCAUAGGUUAAUUAGGCGAACCGGUGCAACUGAAACAUCUAAGUACCCCGAGGAAAAGAAAUCAACCGAGCUUCCCCCAGUAGCGGCGAUCGAACUGCGAGGAGCCCAGAGCCUGGAUCAAUGCAUGUGUUAGGUGA
This 308-nucleotide ribosomal RNA is filed under the name Escherichia coli. RNAcentral's name for it is "partial 23S ribosomal RNA". It matches the Rfam family "Bacterial large subunit ribosomal RNA", at positions 1 to 304 of the family's 2925-position model. Lineage: Bacteria; Pseudomonadati; Pseudomonadota; Gammaproteobacteria; Enterobacterales; Enterobacteriaceae. The record is from RNAcentral.